UGGGGAAUAUUGCACAAUGGGGGAAACCCUGAUGCAGCGACGCCGCGUGAGCGAAGAAGGCCUUCGGGUCGUAAAGCUCUUUUAUAUGGGAAGAUAAUGACGGUACCAUAAGAAAAAGCCCCGGCUAACUACGUGCCAGCAGCCGCGGUAAUACGUAGGGGGCUAGCGUUGUCCGGAAUCACUGGGCGUAAAGGGUUCGCAGGCGGCAAUGCAAGUCAGAUGUAAAAGGCAAAGGCUCAACCUUUGUAAGCAUCUGAAACUGUAUAGCUUGAGAAGUGUAGAGGCAAGUGGAAUUUUUAGUGUAGCGAUGAAAUGCGUAGAUAUUAAAAAGAAUACCGGUGGCGAAGGCGACUUGCUGGGCACAAUCUGACGCUGAGGAACGAAAGCGUGGGGAGCAAACAGG
Molecule: ribosomal RNA, 403 nt
Filed under: Verrucomicrobiota bacterium
Lineage: Bacteria; Pseudomonadati; Verrucomicrobiota
Description: Verrucomicrobia bacterium partial 16S ribosomal RNA
Rfam family: Bacterial small subunit ribosomal RNA
Source: RNAcentral